AGUGAACGCUGGCGGUAGGCCUAACACAUGCAAGUCGAACGGCAGCACAGUAAGAGCUUGCUCUUACGGGUGGCGAGUGGCGGACGGGUGAGGAAUACAUCGGAAUCUACUUUUUCGUGGGGGAUAACGUAGGGAAACUUACGCUAAUACCGCAUACGACCUACGGGUGAAAGCAGGGGAUCUUCGGACCUUGCGCGAUUGAAUGAGCCGAUGUCGGAUUAGCUAGUUGGCGGGGUAAAGGCCCACCCAGGCGACGAUCCGUAGCUGGUCUGAGAGGAUGAUCAGCCACACUGGAACUGAGACGCGGUCCAGACUCCUACGGGAGGCAGCAGUGGGGAAUAUUAGACAAUGGGCGCAAGCCUGAUCCAGCCAUACCGCGUGGGUGAAGAAGGCCUUCGGGUUGUAAAGCCCUUUUGUUGGGAAAGAAAAGCAGCAGGUUAAUACCCCGCUGUUCUGACGGUACCCAAAGAAUAAGCACCGGCUAACUUCGUG
This 492-nucleotide ribosomal RNA is filed under the name uncultured bacterium. RNAcentral's name for it is "partial 16S ribosomal RNA". It matches the Rfam family "Bacterial small subunit ribosomal RNA", at positions 29 to 507 of the family's 1533-position model. The record is from RNAcentral.